AUUUAAGUAAUUUAAUAUAAAAUAUUGAUUUGUGGUGUCAAAUAUGCGAAUUUUUCGCCUUAGAUC
This 66-nucleotide transfer RNA is filed under the name Dixella sp. ZK-2014. RNAcentral's name for it is "tRNA-His". The record is from RNAcentral. Lineage: Eukaryota; Metazoa; Arthropoda; Insecta; Diptera; Dixidae.